AGCUGAAUCUUGAGGUGCUUCC
Molecule: microRNA, 22 nt
Filed under: Tribolium castaneum (red flour beetle)
Lineage: Eukaryota; Metazoa; Arthropoda; Insecta; Coleoptera; Tenebrionidae
Description: tca-miR-995-5p
Gene: tca-miR-995-5p
Source: miRBase by way of RNAcentral